UAGGGAAUAUUGGGCAAUGGGCGCAAGCCUGACCCAGCCAUGCCGCGUGGGCGAAGAAGGUCCUUUGGAUUGUAAAGCCCUUUUAUCCGGGAAUAAUGCUCCGCACGGCGGAGAGUGAAGGUACCGGAGGAAUCAGCACCGGCAAACUACGUGCCAGCAGCCGCGGUAAUACGUAGGGUGCAAGCGUUGUCCGGAUUUACUGGGUUUAAAGGGUGCGUAGGCGGAAUUGUAAGUCGGUGAUGAAAUGGGAGGGCUCAACCUUACCCGCUGUUACCGAUACUGCUUUUCUGGAGUCGAGCAGAGGUGACUGGAAUGAGCAGUGUAGCGGUGAAAUGCGUAGAUAUUGCUCAGAACACCAAUUGAGAAGUCAGGUCACUGGGCUCGUACUGACGCUGAGGCA
RNAcentral lists this ribosomal RNA (400 nucleotides) under uncultured bacterium. Its description in RNAcentral is "bacterial SSU rRNA". It matches the Rfam family "Bacterial small subunit ribosomal RNA", at positions 355 to 753 of the family's 1533-position model. The record is from RNAcentral.